GUAGUUGUUUUAACAGUGAGAGAAAGUGUUAAAGGUGAGGCGACCGACGACCUUUACAUGUUUCUCUUACAGCUCUCUGUUGUUGUGAAACUGACCUUACGUUGUGCUCUCUUACUUAGACAUGACAUGUCCACCUCUCUCUCUUUUUUUUCUCCUUCUCUCCGUCUCUCCUUUGAAGGCGUAAUGAAAUGUUUUUUUUUUGGUCUGUUCUAAUCCGCUGACAGCUCGUGUCAACACUGCGUGGAUUGGACCGGUGUGAUGACAGGUCAGGCAUUAACACGGACAGCUCAGGGACAUGCCGAGUGGCUGAGAAGGAUUAGGCCCACUGUUGCUGUGAAGCAAGGCCUUAUGAAGUAUUAGUCAACACCCUCAACCACCCAGCUCCAAGCAGUUUGAUAUGCUGCAUGCUUCAGUAUUCCCUAACCUCAACAUUUAGAGUGAUAGGGUGAAGCUUAUACCCAGGGGCUCAACAGUCCACUGGCUUACAGACAAGUUAUGAGAGUUACUUUUUCAUUUCAUAUAGGACAGAUGUAAAUGUUCAAAGCAAGAAGCAAGAACCCGUAAGUCCAGUGAUUCUCAAUCAGGGUUACUGAUAAACUGUUAAAUUAUCAAAUGCCUUUAACACCAUAGAUGUUUACAAAAUCAACAAAAAAAGAAGCCCUCUAUGAACCAUAGUUCAAAUGAAAUGAUAAAGUCUGUUGGGAGCAAAUCAAGUUAUUAAAAUGCAACAAUGUCCACAAAAAGUUGAAGCUAUAGGGGUAGAAUUAGGGCCCAACCGAUACCGGAUAUUUGGGGCCGAUACUGAUAUCAAUAUUGGGGAGAAAAAAAAAUCUGAUACCGAUAUAUCGGCCGAUAUCUUUCUUAGAUAUAUGUUCAAUCUUUAGAGAUAGAUACAUAUACACAUUUAUUGCAUUGAUCCUUCAUCUGCAGUUGUCAAACACUUGUUGAAGAAAAAAAUACAGUAGAAGGAAGAUCAGAUGGUCACACAACUGGAAAGUAACUUUGCAUGUACGUAGCGUCACAGUUUGACACUCUGGAGGGUGAUGAUGCUUGGUGUAUUCCAUAUAGCGCCCUCUGCUGGUGAAAGAAAACUGCUAGUUUAAAACAAUGAAUCUCAAAUGAAAUGCUUUUUGACUGGUCAAUAAAUCUAGUAAUAUCUGCGAUAAAACUAGCCGAUACCGAUAGUCACUGGAUAUGCUAAUAUCAGCGGAUAUUAUCGGCUGGAUGAUUAAUCGGUCGGGCUCUAGGUAGAAUGAUGCCACCACUACACUUUGCCUGUUUUGUGUUUCAUUCUUACAGUUGAAAUUAGCUUUUUGUCAUUUUUUAACCUUACAUGAUAAACAAUUUGUUAAACUGUGAGACAAAGUAUUGAAACUAAUAUGAUAACGGCCAUUUAAAGGUGACUAUUAGCUUCUGCUUAUAAGUGGAAGUAUAAGUUAGUAUGAAUGCAAACGACUCUGACCUACACAUGUAGAAUCCAAUUUAUAAUUAAGGCCAACAAUUAAAAGCUUUUAGCCUGACAAUAUCCAAUUGUCCAUCCUCGUAAAAAAUAACAGUUUUACAUCAUUUGAAUGAACACAUUAGGAACGGCAGGAAGUGUCAGUAAAGGGUUAUUUGAGUUAAAAUGUGAUUAAUUGAGUCUAAGAAUGUAUCAAAUAUUCAUAGAAACAUGUGGGGACUGCUUCAUAUGUCAAUGGAUUCUUAAACCUAUCUGCCUUCCCUGUGCCAUCUUAACUCUCUCCCAUUUCUGCCCUCUUCACAUUUCCAUACUUCCAGAGAUCAUAUUCUUACAAAAACAUGAUUACUUAAUAGUAAUUACACGUUAAGUACCUGGUCGUUCACAUGUAUCAAUUUGCAACAGAAUCGUUACAUGUGAGGCCAACAACAACAUCAUCUGAGAGACAAGGCUGGAAAGUAUCACUUAAGCAUUCAUUCUCUUGACAGAGCUCUUCAUUUCAAAGUGCUGUUUGUGUCUUUGGAGCUUUGGCCGCUGAUUUUCAGCUGCUAACCAAGCAAAACACAUGGACAUCCUUAAAGGAAGCAUUUGGCAAAUUGUUUAAGAAAAAAAAAUGCUUAUAUGUGGAAAAGCCUCGGCUUUGCCAUCUGCUGGAAAAGGGCUCUGUGGUUUUGGUGGUCGGGAACAAGGUUUCAGACAGCCUGGGUGUGCGAGUGUGUGAGCGCAAGUGUGUGGGUGUGUGUAUGUAUGUGUGUGUGUGAGGUCGGACUCAUUCACACUCUGCAUGCAGCUCCACCUGAAGUGCACCCACUCCCCCCCCUUUUUCUGUCCGCCUUUUUUCUUGACGUAAUAAAUAUCCAGCAGAUAUAAAUGUCAUACCCUGAUAUCGAUCAACUAAAAUAGGUCCUUUCUAUUGAUCUCUCCCUAUCGGCCUUUAUCGCCCUGUUGCAGCAGAAAUGAAUUCACUUCUGAAUAUUCAAUCUUGUUGACAAGGAGCUGUUAGUCCUCGCGCCUGCUGACAUUUAUACCCACAGUCUUGAGUGUUGCUGGAGGGGGAUUAAUUUAUGGGCUUGUUCGGGUCACUCAAACAGUGUAAUGCAAAGCCCCCUGCACAAGUCUUUGCUUCUGUCUCCUCAGUGUUAAUGUUUCUUUUCAGUCUGUUUCUAAAUCUCACUCCUUAUAGACAAAUUCCAUUGUCUCAAAGUCUCUUCUCUCUCUCUCUCUCUCUCUCAGGGAGCAUGUCGUAUAAUUCAGCAGUGUCCUGGAUGCGCUACCUAGACAGGAAUUUCCAGGUUUUAUUUCCUGUUUGACUCUACUACCAAUCACAGGGGAUUCUCCGCUUGAAUUCCUCUCUGCUCACAUUCUUGGAGCUGCAUGUUGCGGAGGGUGUUUUCAGACCGAUGGAACGGUUAAGGGAAGAAUUUGGAAAUGUAUAGAUCUUGCGGGCUGAAAGAAAGCUUUGUGCUCAAAACACAGGGUUCAUUGCAUUUGGAGUAUUUGAAGCUGCAUCAGUGCAGGAAGAAAACACUGGUCUGUUUUAUCCAUAAACAGCACAUCUGUCAAUGCUAAUAAACAUGACACAUGCUGCUAUUUACAUGUAAAGAGAUUUUCAUCAGACGUCAUACAAUAUGUAAAUGAAGCUGGAGGAACUUCAACGAUUUAAUCAAACACGACGUCAUAAAUUGGUGCAGGAUAGGUAUGGAUUUGAACUGGAAUGAUUUAACCCAGUCAUCAAUAUUUUGACAGCUUGUCAUUGGUCGACUUUUACCCUCCAAGCAUGACGUGUCUCAUCCAAUCAGAAAGGAUAGAUGACUGCACGAUGAGAGAGGACGACUGACCAACACUUCAGUCACAGCUACGGAGAGCAGGAAGGGAAAGUUUGACUUGUAAGUCACUCUUACUGGUUUUUUAAUUUGAUCUUAGUGGGUUUGACUAUACCAGACUGUAAAAUGAGUAAACAUAUAAAAUAAGUAUAAAAUACGAGAAUACUUACAAAAGAAACUGAAGAACUGAAAUCCAAAAUAAAUCUAAUUAAAUCUAAUAAUGUACAGUCAUCAAAUGCAACUUAACUAAAGUGCUGCACAGUUUUUAGUUAAGUUUCACUUCAGUACAUGUAAACAUCUUGUAUACAGUGAGUUGUAAAGGUUACUUCUUGCAAUACUUAUAAUUCUGUAAGAGUCCAUCUCAUUUACAUCAUCGCCUUUUCAUUAUCAAGAUUAUUGUAGGAAAAAUACAAGUGAGAUUGUCAAGUCUGCAAAAGAUACUGAUUUAGUGAGAACAAUCUUGACGGCCUCGUCUUAUAUUUCUUUUUUCUUGAUCUUUUUAAGGUAUUUAUUAUUUAUUUAUUUCACUGCCUAUCUCCUGCUCCUCACACUAGUCCAGUUAGUGGCAAUAAUGCACCGCUGCUGGCUUGCUAAUUGCCAUCAAACAACAAAGAAGAAGAAGUCUGAUAUAACGGACGGCUGAUAUUGGCUGAAUAAAAUAUGUCAGCGUAUUUGUUUUCCAAAAUGUGAUGUUGUGAAACCUUGGGGUGAUUUUUGAUGAUCACUUGAAGUAACAAAAAAAAAGAACUAUGUCGGCUUUUAUAUCAACAAUCUUUGAAACUUUCCCGUCUCAAAUUUGUACUGGUAUAGGUUCAAAAGAUCCCCCCGCAGAAAGGCUCUAGUUCAGAUUCUCAUGUGAAGAACUUUCAGGUUCUGACGCUUGUAGCGCCCCCUGUGGACAAACAGUUCAACAUGUGUCUUUGCUGAUUUUCCUUAACAUGUAGCCUUCUGGCAAAAAAAAAACUCUCUCUCUGCUUUCUUUGAAAUGUCUUGUAUACAUACAAAUCAUAUUUAAUCUUCUGUGCGUAAAAAUGUUUUGUAGGGUAUUUCUUCAACUUCUCAUGACACCUACCCCCGUGGCAGGGUGACCCGGCAUAUAAAACAAUCAAUCAAUCUUCUCUCUGAUGAUUCUGUUUGCUUUUGUAAGUCAUUAAGAGGCAUCGGUUUUUAUUUCAGUGCAAUUAACAACCAGCUAAAAACUCCUCACAGGAGCUUUAAUCAACUUAUUGAUGAAUCAGCUAAUUGUUGAAGCUUUAUAGUAUAAUAUAUUUGAGGUGAUCACUUCUUUGAACUCAGAAAUUUGAAUCAUCUUUUUAUGCUGCUGCCUUCAGGCUCUAUUUUUUCCCCACAGAUUUUCUUCGUAAAGUAUCAAAAUACAAAGUUCGUCACUUUCUCCAUUGGCAUCCAUUACGUUAUUUUUUACUCGGGUCAGGAAAAGAGAUACACACUGACGUAGUUUUAUUCGGUUGCUGUUGGUUGCUUUUUGAUGGACACAACAGAUACUUAAACCCACACCCAGUUAACCAUCACUGGUGUGUCUGGAGAGGCAGGUAAUUAUUGACUGUGUGUGUGUGUGUGUGUGUGCGCGUGUGUGUGUGUGUGUGUGUGUGUGUGGCCGUAGACUUCUCACUGGUGUCUAUCUCUGUUUAAUGUCUGACUGCCACUGUGGGUGGGAGGGUCGUGAGAACCUGCAGACACACUGAGAGUCCCACAGAGAAACACACCUAUCUUUGUCUGCUUUCAAAACUUAAGCUAAGCUCUCUCUCAGAAGGCUGUUUGAUGUUCUCAAGCUGUUUGAACUCCCUCUCCAUGUCCAUCCAAACUCCAAUGUGUCCUGUGUGUCUCAAGGCCUUCUGCCUCCACCCUGAUGAGCCCGAUCAACGGCACUAAUACCUCAGAGUGACUAUUUCCAGUUGUCAAAGCCGUGCGUCAGCCAGUAGUGAUUUCCUCUUCUCAGAUUAAGAUUGCUGCUAACGAUGAGCAGAGAAACCACAAGGAGUGGCACACUGAAGCUGCUCGGAAGUGGGAGGUUUUUUUUAAGGAUUGGACGGUUUAAAAUGUUCUCAUUGGUCGAGAUCUGGGGAGUUGCCAGACGAGCAAAAGUCCAUAUUGACUCGAUUAUAGAGUGUCUGAGGUGUGUGUGUGUGUGUGUGUGUGUGUGUGUGUGUGUGUGUGUGUGUGUACAUUUGUGUGCACUCAUUUUGAGAAACUGUUUAAUUAGUGAAACGUGGUUGUUUUCUCAGUCAAGAAGAGUAAACAAGUUGAAUGUUUGUACAUGGUGUGUCAUGUUUAAACUUUAACUUGUCUGACUGAACUCAAGGCCUAACAAAUCUUAAUGUCAUCUAUCUAUCUAUCAUAAUUUGUCUUUAUCUAGGAUACAUACAAACAUAUUAUGUACAGUCGGGUAUUUAUUUUUAAUAUUUUAAUGCAUAUAGUAAUAAGAACCUCACCUUGCAGUUUACAAUUGUGUCUAUGAUUUACUCUCAAAUGAAAAAUUGAUGAUAAUAAUAGUAAUAAUAACUUUAUUUAUAUAGCACCUUUCAAGAGCAGAGAGUCACAAAGUGCUUUACCAAAGGAUGAGAAAAAAAACAUCAACAAUAUACGAAACAGAUGAAUCAAAAGCAAGUCUCAACAAAUGGGUCUUAAGUUGCUUUUUAAAAGAGUCAGCAGUGUUCACAAAUCUUAAACCUUAAAGGCAGAGCGUUCCAAAGUGUUGGGCUAAAGCCUGAAAAGUGCAGUCUCCCUCGGUCUUCAGUCUGGUGUGUGGGCCGGUGCCUCUCCAUGCAGGGCUUUAAAAGUAAUAACAUUUAUGAUUUAUUAUUUUUAUUUAAAAAUGACUGUACUUUGAACACAACUGUAUAAUACAAUGAAUACAUUUAAAAUGUGCAGGAAAU
Molecule: long non-coding RNA, 6173 nt
Organism: Labrus mixtus (cuckoo wrasse)
Lineage: Eukaryota; Metazoa; Chordata; Actinopteri; Labriformes; Labridae
Exons: 2
Source: RefSeq, a predicted model, not a curated record